Molecule: non-coding RNA, 783 nt
Organism: Misgurnus anguillicaudatus (oriental weatherfish)
Lineage: Eukaryota; Metazoa; Chordata; Actinopteri; Cypriniformes; Cobitidae
Source: RefSeq, a predicted model, not a curated record
GCACCCAGAGCCGGAUUAAAUAAAUGGACUACACUAGGCAGGCUGCAUUUUUUGGGCCCCCCCAUCGAGGUUAUUUAUGAAUUGAAAUCUGAAACUUACCAAAGUUACUAAUAAAAGUGAAUUCACAUUUUACAUAGCCUAGUCUUUGCUUACAAAUUGGUUGUUUGUAUACCAAAUUAAGUCAUGUGUUGUAUAUUAACCAGUCUAUCAGACAAUUUUUUGCUAAAUUUAUUAUUUAUACGUCAUUACACGGCUCUAUUAAAUGCUAUUAAAUUAUCCUCACCUUAUCCAUUGGGAGUGUCAUUGUUAAGGCAGUAGUACAAGUAAAUAACCAAUAGGUGUCAGUAAUCCGCGGGAGAGCUUCGCUGCAUAUUUCUUUUCAAGAUUGAGAAUCGCAACGAAAUCCUUGUCGAGCAACACGUCCACUGAGCAACCAUGUCUGUGUCCUUAAAGGAACUCUGUCAGGUACAGAUUAGAACUAUGAACUUGAAAAUCAACCAUUCUGAUGACUGGCGUCCCCAUCCGAGUCACCACCUCAGACAACAACAGUCAUAAACUCACAAACACAAAUACACUCAGUAAUGGGCUUAAUAAAGAAAGACUUAACUAUGAUUUUAUCUGUGUUAACCUAUGAUAUCAGUUAUUGAUGUAUUUUAAAUAUUUACGUAUUACUAGGCUUAUCAUACAUGCAUUGAAGUUUUAAAAUGUAUCUAAUAUAAUACUGUAAUUAAAUUGAAUGUUUUGGAUACCACCAUUAAAUUAUUUUGUGCAUGUAAAACACAA